RNAcentral lists this ribosomal RNA (468 nucleotides) under uncultured bacterium. RNAcentral's name for it is "partial 16S ribosomal RNA". It matches the Rfam family "Bacterial small subunit ribosomal RNA", at positions 28 to 507 of the family's 1533-position model. The record is from RNAcentral.
GACGAACGCUGGCGGCGUGCUUAACACAUGCAAGUCGAACGGAAAGGCCCUGCUCUUGUGGGGUGCUCGAGUGGCGAACGGGUGAGUAACACGUGAGUAACCUGCCCUUGACUUUGGGAUAACUUCAGGAAACUGGGGCUAAUACCGGAUAGGAGCUCCUGCUGCAUGGUGGGGGUUGGAAAGUUUCGGCGGUUGGGGAUGGACUCGCGGCUUAUCAGCUUGUUGGUGGGGUAGUGGCUUACCAAGGCUUUGACGGGUAGCCGGCCUGAGAGGGUGACCGGGCACAUUGGUACUGAGAUACGGCCCAGACUCCUACGGGAGGCAGCAGUGGAGAAUAUUGCACAAUGGGCGGAAGCCUGAUGCAGCAGCGCCGCGUGCGGGAUGACGGCCUUCGGGUUGUAAACCGCUUUCGCCUGUGACGAAGCGUGAGUGACGGUAAUGGGUAAAGAAGCAACGGCUAACUACGUG